RNAcentral lists this ribosomal RNA (415 nucleotides) under uncultured prokaryote. Its description in RNAcentral is "bacterial SSU rRNA". It matches the Rfam family "Archaeal small subunit ribosomal RNA", at positions 455 to 873 of the family's 1478-position model. The record is from RNAcentral.
GUGUCAGCCGCCGCGGUAAUACCAGCUCUCCGAGUGGUAGGGACGAUUAUUGGGCUUAAAGCGUCCGUAGCCGGCUUAGCAAGUCUCAUGUUAAAUUCAGCGACCUAAUCGUUGAGCCGCGGGAGAUACUACUAGGCUAGGAGGCGGGAGAGGUCGACGGUACUUCCGGGGUAGGGGUGAAAUCCUAUAAUCCCGGGACCACCAGUGGCGAAGGCUGUCGACUAGAACGCGCUCGACGGUGAGGGACGAAAGCCAGGGGAGCGAACCGGAUUAGAUACCCGGGUAGUCCUGGCCGUAAACGAUGUGGACUAAGUGUUAGGGCGGCCACGAGCCACCCUAGUGCUGAAGGGAAGCCGUUAAGUCCACCGCCUGGGGAGUACGGCCGCAAGGCUGAAACUUAAAGGAAUUGGCGGGG